AUGACAACAACAACAAAACAAAGAGGCCAGGAGGGAACGGAAAGUUCAGGGGCCCAGGGCAGAGCGACAGGGCAGGAAUCCAGGGUGGAGCAGGUGGAACUGGAGCCCACCACAGAUGGGACUGACGCCCACCAGGGCGGUGCAGAGAACCACCACAGCCUUGCGGUUGAGACAGAGGCCUACCAGGGCGGUGCAGAGGACCACCACAGCCGAGCAGACGAGACAGAACCCCCCAAGGCAGAGCAGAGGACCACCACAGCCGAACAGACGAGACAGAACCCCCCAAGGCAGAGCAGAGGACCACUACAGCCGUGCAGACAAGACAGAAGCCCACCAGGGCGACGCAGAGGACUACCACAGCCGAACAGACGAGACAGAACCCCCCAAGGCAGAGCAGAGGACCACUACAGCCGUGCAGACGAGACAGAAGCCCACCAGGGCGACGCAGAGGACUACCACAGCUGUGCAGUUGAGACAGAAGCCCACAAGGGCGGAGCAGAGGUCCACCACAGUGGGAUCGAUGGCACAGAAGAGCAAGUCUGGUCAGGUAAGGCUGAAAUAGAGAACAUGAACAGGUUAAGGGUGGCCUCCGUGAUGAGAUGGUAGAUGGUCUCCAUGGCCAUGACAGGGCAGGCGGUGAGUUCCUGGAUGGCCUCCAUGGCCAUGACAGGAUAGGACGAGUGCUCAGGAAGUUCAGCAGAGACGUGAAGAGGCUCUGGUAGAUCCGUGGUGAUUUGACUGGGUUCAGGAAGAUCAACUGUGGCUUGACUUCGUUCAGGAAGAUCAAUUGUGCCUUUACUUCGUUCAGGAAGAUCAACUGUGGCUUGACUUGACUCAUGAGGUCUAACUGUGGUUUUGCUUGACUCAUGGGUGUUAAUGGGGACCUAACUCGACUCUGGAGGGACCACGGGGACCUGACUCGACUCUGGAGGGACCACGGGGACCUGGUCAGUGGGGACCUGACUCGACUCUGGACACUGCAUUUUCCAACAUGACAAUGCCAGACCACAUUCUGCAUCAAUUACAACAUCAUGGCUGUGUAGAAGAAGGAUCUGGGUACUGAAAUGGCCAGCCUGCAGUCCAGAUCUUUCACCCAUAGAAAACAUUUGGCGCAUCAUUAAGAGGAAGAUGCGACAAAGAAGACCUAAGACAGUUGAGCAACUGGGUUUGUAUAUAUAUAUAUAUAUAUAUAUAUAUAUAUAUAUGUAUAUGUAUAUAUAUGUAUAUGUAUAUUAUAUAUAUAUAUAUAUAUAUAUAUAUAUAUAUAUAUAUAUAUAUAUAUAUAUAUAUGUGUGUGUGUAUAUAUAUAUAUAUAUAUAUAUAUAUAUAUAUAUAUAUAUAUAUAUAUAUAUUAAUAAACAUACAGUUUCAUGAUGUCAGGAUUCAAAUAGAGUCUCAAACUAUGUGUCCCAUACUCCGAGAAGCCAACCACAUGCAAAGCAAAAAAUGUGGUGUAAAUCCCACAUCGCAAAUAUGGUGGAUUCUGUGGUUUCCUUUUGAAGGGCAAAAUUAAUAACUGGUACGGAAUAAGAAUUUAUUUACACAUUUUAAUAAAAUGAAAGGAUAGAAAUUAUUUAUAGAAGUGGAUAUGCUUAUACAUAUUCAAGGCCCAUUAACUCAGGGAAGAAAAUGGGAGACUUUAUACAAACACAAAUGAGGGACUAUGGACUUAAUGAACUAGACACAGGUGAACUGAUUAAUGCAAUUGAGGGGAAACAGAAACUGGGUCAAUGAGCAAAACUAAUGCAGGAGAACAGGAACAGAAAGAAACAAACUAAUGUCAUCACUUGUGGUAGUUGCCAAAGCCUCUGUAAUGUUCAUUUCCAGAAGUAGUGUUAACCGAAUCCUGAUAACAAUAUUAAAAAGUAUGAAAAAUUUGUGUUUGAUAAAGAUACAAAUAAAACAUGAAAUCCCAGUUCAGAUUUUAUCUAUAAAAAUACUUGUGUAAUAAAAUUGUG
Cyprinus carpio carpio is the source of this 1958-nucleotide long non-coding RNA. Lineage: Eukaryota; Metazoa; Chordata; Actinopteri; Cypriniformes; Cyprinidae. The record is from Ensembl.